Molecule: long non-coding RNA, 14612 nt
Organism: Falco peregrinus (peregrine falcon)
Lineage: Eukaryota; Metazoa; Chordata; Aves; Falconiformes; Falconidae
Exons: 2
Source: RefSeq, a predicted model, not a curated record
UGUGCUUGGCUUCUUGCUAGCCAUCACAAGCUGAGGGUUCGGUUCGGGGAAGAGGAGAUGAAGUACAGUGCCUUUACUUCCAUCUGACAGCGAGGUCCUCUUUUUCUCCACAAAAGAACAAUGUUGGGAGAAGUGCUACAUAGCAGCACUGCAGCAUCGUGCAAGAUUUCUCAUGGUUUGUGAGAGUAAUAGGUGGAGGAUGUCAGCAUCGCCCUUCGCUGGGCAGAAUUGUGCAUAGAAUCACAUAAAUGUGGCUGGGCAAGAGGAUAAAAGCUUGAAUGCUAUGUACAGCUUAUGCGAUUUCUUGGAUAGAAGACCUGCUUUGGGGAGCUUUUGAGUGAAGGGAGAAUGUAAUGGCCCGGGACUGUUUUGUGCAAAUAAUGGAGAGAAGGGUCACUGCUGCAAGGAACUCACAGGCAGGGAAUUUGGGUUCUUGGGCUGCUGGUGGUACUGUGGAGGUGACUCAAAAAACCUCAGCCAAAUGCUUAAGAAAUCGGGUUUAUUUUUUCUGUUUAGGGAAUUCAUAAAUCUGUUUUCCACUGGUUCGGCUUUUGAUAUUCAGUCUGUCUUAAACCCAUAGAAAUAGCCACCCUUGCUGUUUGCAGUUGGGAAAUGAAUCCUCCUGUCAAUUACCAUCCUCUGACAAGCCCUUAAUUGGGAAAGUGUUUCUGGGUCCCUGGUGGGGACCUGGCAUUUGACUAGCCUGGUUUGCACAAACUGUUACCUGGCUUGCUUGCAACAACCAGAAAAGGUUUGGGGGAUGGUUGUGUUCUGCUUGGUUUCCUUCUGUGAGCGCUACUCCUCUCCCCUCCCUAUUCCUAGUCAUGUUCAGACUGAUUUCAUAGUUUACCUUGGCUGUAGCUUGAUGGCUGGGGAGACCAGGAGAGCCCGCAGGAGCUGCGUGGCCAGGACGCACAGCCUGUGGUCUGAUUUCAACCCUUUUAGGUCCCGUCGCAUGUGGGUAGGUGGGCUUUGGUUUUAUCUGUCUUUCCAAGAAGACAAGUUGAAAUCAUCUCUGAUUUCACUGUGUCUUAAUUACAAAACUCGCUAAGGCUGGAGCCAAAGGAUUGAAUUACCAGUUCAGCCUUCCAUCCUCCAAGGUAUUUUUUCCUAGCUGAAAUUAAACAGAUGCUAAAUAAUAAACAGGCCUCAACGACUUUGCAACUUAAUGCCUUUCUUUCUGAGAAUGAGAGCCUCCUGUUUCUCAACAUCAUUAUUCUUAACAGCCACCCUAAGGCAGACCACAAAGUUUUUAUGGGUUUGCUGGGUGGUUUUUACGGGGGCUUUGCGGCAGGGAGUGAGUGCAUUGGCUCCAGCUGUCCUGCCUGGCUGGACACUGUGCACGGCACUUGCACAGCUGGUUGCUGUGGGGUCUGCCCCCCUCAGAGGUGGUGGGCAAGGUGAAAAUACAGGAUCUUCUACAGAAUAGGUCAGAUGUAGCUUGCUGUCACGCUGGAAAUCUGUGUCCGAGGUCCCUCUGAGAGACUCUGUCAGGGUAGACAAAAGCAGGGUUGUUGUUGCUUAAGUUAACAAAGGCACCUCACUUCACUCUGCAAGGAGCCAACCAGUCGAGUUGUGUCAGAAGGAAGAAGUCUCCAUCAGACGUGUCUCUUGCUCUCCCCAGUUCUCCACAUCUCCUUCCCUGUGCAGACCGGCUGUGGGACCACCUUUCUGCGGGCAGUGGUUGCCAGCCAGCCUUUGGAGCAGGGGCUGGUGCAGCGAAGUUGGGUGGCAGGUAAGGGUGUAGCAUUGGGUAGCACAGAGAUGUGCUGAUGGAGGAGCUGGAGCCCUCAUCACCCCCGUCCGUGGUUUUCUUUUUCUUCCCAAGCUUGCCUGGGCCAUGGCAAGCUUCCCAAUGAUCUUAUGCAAGCCCUUGCAUUGAUUUGUCCCAUGCUCCCCACCACUGCUCCCCCGUGGGUAAGCUACAGGAGCAAGUGUGUGGAGCGUGGCUCGGUGGUGCUGUGUGUGAGCUUGGUGGUGGCGGGCAGGAGGUGGGCAGCUUCCCGUGACUCACCGCCGCCUGCUUGACUUUUCACUUUCUCCUCCCCUGAGACAUGCACUUUCGGUGUUGUUUUUGGCUGGGGCAGACCAGGUGCUCUCCCUCCCUCUGUGCAGGGUUUGCUUUCUUCCUUCCCACCCCUGAAGGCAGUUGGUAAUCCCUGAUUUACCACCGCUGGCUCUGUGGAGCUGAAAUGCCACUGUGCCAUGUAGAAUACAGCUGUUCAAGCCAAACUGCCUACUCAGCAGAGCUCAUUUCCGUUGGUAAUUUAUUGACACUCGUCCAGCUGUACAUAAUAGACAAUGGAAAAAGGCUGCCAAGGGAAGGCUUGGCUGGUUGUUUACUCAGGAUUAUCUGUGCUCCCCUGUUCCCAUUGCCUCCCGUACUAACACCUGGAGGCCCAUGUUGCAGCUUCUUGCACCCCACGUGGAGCCAGGGCUGCACAAGGGGUCCCAAACAGCAUUCUGGGUCAUGCAGCCACCUCGCCCAGGGGGCACCAGGAACUGGCUUAUUUUGCAAGGAAUGUACAGAUGAACCGGUUCUUAAAACGUAGGUUUUCAGGGCCAUUCCGGUGCCUCCGUGGCAUUUGUUUUCAAUCCAAGCUGGACAAAACCAAUAAAAUUACUCAUGUCAGAAUUUUCCGUGAUCUGGGAGCUGCCUUGACCCGAGUGGCAGCAGAUGAUAUGUGUAAGGCAUUGAGCUGCCAUGAGCUGUGCCCAGGGGACAGCCGUGUAGCCGUCCCAGCAGAUCCCACUGGUGUUGUGCCUUUGAAAUGUCCCCUGCUCUGCCAGCCCGACUGUGCUCACCGGGAGCCCUCUUGCCUUGCUCUUUGCCAGCCUGACUUGUGGUUUGGUGCAGGGGUGUGUGGAGAAGACACGGUUGCCUUCUCCUUUUCCUCCUGAUCCAGAGCCAGGCAGCUUGUGGUAUGUGGUGCCUCCUUCCUCUUGGCGCUUUGCUGUCCAUGCUUUUUCAUAGCUGACAGCUGCCGCUUUGGGGCAUCCCUGUCAGGGUUCCCAGCCUUGGAACGGGGUGGGAACUGUUGAGGAAAUGUGCCUUGAGUCUUGUCUGCCCCCAGUCUCACCAGUAGGCUUGCUGGGCACAGCUGGCAGGUUUGGCAGGGUUCACCGGGCUGGCACGUGAGCGUUCCCAUUCAGGGGUCUCUUUGUCCGCUGGCUUUUGCAGGGCUUUGGGCUCCUGGUGCUUAGCCACCUGCCUGCAGAGAGGUUUAAAGGGGAGAGAUCGCCAUUCUCUGCAGAUUCGCAUCAGGAACCGGAGCAGGGAGGGAGCACCUUGCUGUUGGUGAGGCCAGAAAGCGGGGAAUGGCGUGAUGGGUCUGCCAGCUGGGACCGGCACACAUGUUGGCAGGCGAAGGGGUCUGUGGGGCUCGUUGGGGCUGCGGCUGUGGUUCACUGGUGGUGUCUUUUGGACUGGAUGUGCUGCACCUGCUUCCACAGGUCACUUGGUAGGAAACUCUCUGCAUAGCUCGUCCCCCAAGUUUGUAACGUGUCAUUAAAUGUUUGUUCAUAACCAGGAGUCUUCUCCAGCCAGCUCCAUCCUGUUGUAGUCCCAGUGAGGUUAUCUGUUUGGGUCAGGAAAGGAAAGCAAAAAGCUCUGAAAUUCCUGUACAGAGAAAAUUACCAGGAUGUUUCACUGCAGGGGCCGAUGUUUCUGCUGCUGUUUCUUUUGAUGGGCUCAUGAUAGCUUCUUUUUCUUAAAAGACUCCAUUCUGAGGGGUCACGUGGUGCAUUAGAGUCUUGGAUUUUGUUUGGAAAAAGGUGCUUUAAACCUUCACAGGAGGCUCGUGGGGAAGCACUUGGAAUUAGCCAAUUGCUUUAUAGAAAAUAGAAAACCCCCACAGAAGAUUAAGCUGUUUACCUGCUUAAAAACCUUUUAUUUCAGGCUUCCAAGCAUUACUAGUACUAACAACUUUAAAAACAGGCACAGACAGGCAUGGCAGCCCAGAAACUCUGUAUCAUCUGGAUGUGUUCGGCAGAGCUGCCCGAUAGCCGAGUGGAUGUCAGUUCGUGCAGAUACGCCUUGCCAGAGCCUGGGAUCACAGAGGAGGGUGGCCUUGCUCUAAUGAUGCUUGUACAGGAGGGGAGGCUUGUUGCUGUUAUUUUAGCAGUGUUUAGGAGACGUUUUAGUGCUCUUGAGAAUGCCAGAUUGAUCAUAUUCAGCCAUGACGGGCCCUGUGCCAUGCUUACCCACAGCUUUCUCCUGCGCUUGAAUGCUGGCUGUCGGAGAGCGCAGACGGAGCGGCGGUGCUGCCCAGCUGCAUCCCCGCCAAAACACAAGCUGCUCCCAGGCACAGGUCUGGAUCCAAAUCCUGCUGCCUGGAUCCCUUUGAUAAGAGAGAUUAAAGCAGCUGUGGUUUUAGCACUUUGGGUUACUGUGGUGCCUGGAAGGCACCACUGAGAUCAUGACCUCUUUCUCAGCCCUUCUGGUAGCCUGUCGAUGUAAUGAGGCACAUGUUGCUGUUGUGCACUGCAGAUGCAAGUUUUUAUUGGUGUUGCACAUUUCGAGAGUCUUGCAUAUUCUUGAGUGCCAUCUGCUGGCUUUUUUGUUGUUAACUGGUUUCAGUCGUUGGCCAUUUCUACACAGUGUCAGAAACUCUGCACCGGUGGCUGUAAAUAAAAAAACACCUAGCUCGGAGGAAGUUCCACUUACUACCUCCGAAACCUGUGUGGACAAAGGAGAGUGGAAAUAUUGUCUCCACUUCACAGAUGUGAAAUGGAGACAUCUGAUUAAAACUCCUCUACUGUCACUCCUGCUGCCAUUCUGACAGGAGCACCCUCUGGGUCCUGCAAAGUGAUUACACUCAGGUGAUUUCUGUAGGCAAUGGUUUGGGUCAGAAAACAGGUAGAAAAUGCUUUCUUCCUAGAUACCUCUGCAGAGGUGUCUGCAGCCACCUUGGCAGGAGGAGCUUAAUGAACAGCAGGGACCUUACCUCACCUUACUCCCAGGAUAGAUCUCCUGGGAAUCUGCUGGCUCACAGAAUGGUCCCAGCUGUGAGCAAUAAGCAGCUCUGGGAGGUUUCUGUGGCAUACAGGAGGCCAGCCUUGUUGUCCAUCAGCCCUUAGCUCCGCUGUGCUUUCAGCAGUUCAAGCCAGCAGCUGGUCCACUAGAUGAGCAGAGAAGAAGCAGACCUUCAGAAUGGGAAUUGCAUCUCUGAGACACACAUCAGCACCGACGAAUAGCCCUGCUUAUUUCCAGAGUGGGUUUGGACUGGCUUUUCUUCCCCUGGCCCACUGGAAAGUGUUUUACAGCUGCCUCUCUUAAUAGUCAAGUUCUUGGCUUGUUUCUUCCCCCUUAGCAUAUUAAGAGCUGAAGUCUCAUCAUCUCUGAUGGGAACAGAGUCUUUUCUCAAACAGUAUUUCUCUCCUUAAAAAUGAUGGGUGCACUGGAGCUGGGGCUGGCUGUAACAUGCUGUCCCCUAGCCACCUGCAUCGGGGAGCAGUCAGAGCUCUGUGUCCACUGUAAAGCUGGGCAACACGCCCUCCACCUAGCAGUGUGCUGGCAUGAGAGUGGUCCUGGAUCUGUUCCACAUCCCGCUCUCAAGAUGCUCUACUGUAGAGGACACUCCUGCCCAUCAGAUUUUUUCCCUUCCCCAGUGUUCAUUCCUCUCGUUUUAACUAUUGCUGGAGGUGAUUCCUUAAGGUCUUGUCUGUGAGCUUCAUGACGUGCAGCUGUAAGUAUGUAUUUUUGUUCUCCGUCUUGAUUUCAUCCCCAAUUUCUUGCGUUGGUGAUGCUUUGUUUUGUUUCCCUCUGUUCUGUGUGCUGCACAUCAUGUGGUCGUUGUGAACACAAUAAAGGAAUGGAGAGAAAAAAAUUCUCAUGGCUGUGGGCACAGAGCAUGUGCGUGCUGGGGCCUGGAUGGGUGUCCUUUGGUCCUGGGGUUGUCAGGAGGUGGGUUCAAGGCACUCCUGACAAGUCCUUGGCAGUGUGAGUGGGUGGGUGAGUAGUGAAGCUGUUAGUGUUUAGACACCGGGACGUUCACCUGGCACAGAGCAUUGCUGGGCCCUUGGCUGCUCUGAGCCAUGCUCCAGGCAAACCAGAAGAACCUUAAACGCUCCUUCCCUUUCACCUGUGUGGUGAGGACAGAGAUGAGAGCUGGAUCCAGCAAAAGUAGAAAUCCCUGUGUCUACUCCUACUGAAUUUGACAGGGAUUGCUGGCUUCCAGGCUGCUCCCUGAUGUUGUAGAGUUGGGAGAAGCAUCCCUCUGAAGGAGCCCCAUGAAGGAGGGAGCAGGGGAGGUUUGUUGGCACCCCCAGAGCUGGCAGUGUCCAGAAGCCCAGCCAAGGGCUGCGGAAGCAUGAGAUGCCGCCUCUAGCCCUGGCCUGCCAGCUGCUGAGCUGAUGCAGGCAGGCUCAGGGAAGGCAACAGAGGUUGUGGCUGUGGCUUUUGGUACACGUGGAGGUGGGGAUGGCAGCGUACAGGCUCUGAGGCGUUCCCGUGAGUGAGUCGGGAUGGAUUUUAUCCAAGUGGAGGGAACGCAUCAAAGUUGUGUCAGCAUCAGAGAAAGUCUCAAGGGGCUGGGAGCAGAUUAGAUGCCUCUUCUUCAGGAGGUGCCACCAGGCAGAGCAGCGUGAGCCAUGCAGACCUCCUUGUCUGCUACUGCUGCAACUGCUGUUAAGGAGGCAAAAGCAUUGUCCUGUCCCUUGGGAGGGCUGGGCUGGAAAAUGUCGGCUCGCCCACUCCUCAUCAUUGCCACUCUGCCUUCCCUCUCUGCAAUUACAGUUGCACUUGUAAUUAACACUGAUGUUAUAAUUGAAGCCAAGCGGUUCCUUGCAAUCAGAUUUUAUUUUUACCAUGUAGGCUAACAAUAAGAUGUGCUGGCCCCGCUGGAGAGCUGAGAUGUUAACAAUUACUGUGCUAAGUAAAGCAAGGCUGACAUGAAAGAGAGGGGAUGGCUGCUUGUCACGUGCUGACGUCAGGAAUCCUGCAUGCCAUCCCUGUUACGCAGGGACCUCAGUACCAGGAGGAUGGGGAUUUCUGUAGGGAGAUUGAAAUGAGGAUCUUCCUUGACCCAUUUUUGGCCACUGGCUUCUCAGAUGAUGUUCUGAGCGGCUUAAAAUAAAAUAACCUGACUUUGGCAAAUGGGGGAGCUCUUCUUGGCUGGAGUCUUUCUUUGCCUGGCUCUUUGGGUCUGUUCUUUACCUGACUUCAUAUUUUCGAGUGUUUCAUAUCCUCCCCCAACCCAGCCUCACCGUAAUGCCUACCGUGUUAGCGGAAGGGGUUGCAGUGUUUGGCUGCUCCUACCUUGCCCUCUGCAUCUGGAGUUGUUCACAGGAUGUCUCCCAUCAUGGCCACACAGCUGGAUCUGUGAAGGAACUUCUGCCCAGGCCCCUAGGUGGUAUUUCAGGAGCAAGGGAGAAGGGACCCAGAAGGGAUUUGUGCUGCUCUAACCAGCAGUUGCUGCCACCCAGGGCUGCGGCGGACAUACAAGCUCGCUGUGCCCUCCUGGACACCUGAGAGCUUAGAAGCUGGAGGCCAGGGUGAGACGAGGUUUCCUGAGGCUUAUUUCGUGUUCUUCAUACAUGUAGGGGGAGGAGUUGGGAUGCAGAAGGGCUGCAGCUCAUGUAGAGGAGUAUUCGGGCAGAGCAGCAAAAGCAGGUCCUGAUGGGAAGGACUGGAAAUAGGGUCUCUGGGCCCUGGCAGCACGUGGCGUGGAGGGAGAGCUGUCCUGGGCUCCCACUUGGUGCCUGUAUUGCUCUCUUUGGGUGAUCCUUCAGGCAGGGCCGCUGGAGGUGGGUGUUGGGUAACAGCACAGGUUGGAAAUGGCAGUGUCUUACGUAAAUGCCAGAAAUUGUAGGGGCUUGAGCGUAUAAAAAGGGGGGUUGCCUUUUAAUUUAUUUGGCCAGCACCAUGAGGUUGUAACUUCUUUCCAGAAUGCAUUUCCCUAUAGGUGUGGAAAACAGGACCUUUAUAGUCAACUGAAGCAGUGAGUUGUAAUGAUGGUCAUAGACGAUCAUUUUCAUUAUGAGCUGCUUUUUCCCCCUCUGCAGUCGGUUGGACUCUGCUGCAGUGAGGCAAGCAUGCAAGUGUGGCCAGACCUCCUUGCAGAAGCAAGACUCUCCUUGUUUUCCACUGUUUUUUUGGCUCCUACCUUUGAUGCAGAGGGAUAGACUCAUGUGCUUGAGUUGGCUGAAACCUGCCUGGCCGCUCUUCAGCAGGCUGAUGAAAACCAGCCUCCUUAUGCAGUGUAUGCACAGGUGGUGGUGGGGAAGUCGGGAAGGGGGGGAAAUAUGAAAAACAUCUUGCUGAGUAGGUGGAAUCAGAGACUCGAUGUGUGGGCAUCCUCCCUGUGCCAGAGCUCGCUGUGACACCUAGCAGUGAGCUGGGGCUGUUUGGGCUGGACGGUGCGGCCAGUUGGUCGUUGGGGGAGUUGGGCAGCCACCAUGCAAGUCCCCCCGGAGAGCUGACAGCAUCAGCCAGCCCACUGCACUGGAGACAAGGGUGUCCUUCACCCUGGCACCAUCCUCUAACCUGAGGGCUCACGGUAGCAGACUGGCCUCGCCACAUGUUUGGCUGGAUGCAAGAGCCUUGUGCCUUCUAAUUUUAAAGAGGUGCAGCACUUGCAGCCCAGCUCUGAGGCUCAAACUGCCAGAAGGAGAGAAAACUGGGAGAGGCCUUUUUUUGUAACAGGUUUUUCUGAGCUCUGUUUGGUUUUGGUAAGGGGAGGAAAAGGUGUAGGAGCUGACAGUGUACAAGUGAAAGAGUAAAAAGCAUCUGGGCAAGAUGCAGUGAUACAGAGGGAUGGCAGUGUCCUCCAGAGUCUGAAGUCCUGAGAAAGGAAAUCCAUCAGAGCUCUGCUUCGUCAGGCUCUGGCUGGCCUGGGAGGGCACCAACUCCGAGCAGGGUCUGCCCUGUGGGAUGGAACGUGUUCGGUGGGGAGCUGGGACAGAGGUGCUGCUGCCUCCCCAGGGAAUCGUGCCUUGGAGGCUCAGCAGUCCCUGCUGAGCCCUGCUCUUUCCUGUGCCUAGAGAUGGUAAAAGGUGGAAGCUUUCAGUUCGUCCAAAUCACAAGUACGUAGCAUGCCAUGUCUUUGUCACUAAUAGCCGAGAAGCUGCUAUUCCUUGUGUCUCUGCUUUGGGUGAUCUUGCCAGCGUGCACGGUGUGAGCGGUGGGGUGAAGCCAUUCCCCUGGCACGUACCCAGCUGCACGCAGGGGAAGCUUUGUCCAGCAAUGGGUAGGGGUGCUAAAUAGCUAAUCCUUCUUCCUUGAGGCAAAGCUGCCCACUGAAUGCAGGGCUCUGGAGUGCCGUGCUAAUGGCUUAACUGCACUAUUUCUUUGCUCUGUCCUUGAAAAAAAAGAGACAAAAUCGGCAUUAAUUCUUUCUUGGCAUUUAUAGAGCACUUGAAAACCACCAGAGCCCUAGCCGACAUGCAGAUUGAGGACAACAGUGAGGUCACUGGGAGAGAAGUGAAAUCUGCCCGUGGUUUUGUGAUGACACAGGACUCGGCUUAGCUGAGAGAGGCUACACAUAAGCAUCAAAAAUUUUAGAGAAACCAGAGCAUCUUCCAGCUUUCUCUUUUGAUCUAAAAAUAUAUGUAAACUGUUUGGCAUCUCAAGGCAAUCUUCAGUUGCUGGUGAGUUCAGGGAAUCUGUAUUUGCUUCCUAGGGGAAUUUUAGCAUUUGCUGGAAUACUUGCUGUCAGCCGCAAUUUCCAUUGCUCUAUUGGCUUUAUUUAUGUCAUAUUGGCUGCAGUUGUCAAUGUGAACGUUUCUGCUAUUCCAACCGGAAUAAAGGCUUUUGUAUACUCAGCCAAAAGGGCUGGCUCUGGGGAAUAUUCCUGAAAAUGCAUACGCAGGCGCGUGUGCAUCUAGGCAGAGACAGCCUGGAUUGCAUGAGCUGGUGAUGGCGGGGCCAAGAGGAUGUGACAGAUGGCUUCUCCUGGAGCUCCUUCACUGCGGUGUGGAGAGGCAGGAAAAGGGCCGACUCUGAACUCUCUGCAGCUCUUAAUUUUCUGCUUCCCCUUUGCCUUUGAUGUGCUUCCUCUUAUCUCUUUCUCUCUUGGUUCAAUUUAGAGCAGCUCAGAGAGUGUGUAGAUCUAAUUUUAGAUGAACCUGCUUCUGGCCUGAGAUUUCACACGUUUGGUCUUCACGGGAAUGCGCGGCGCCCCGCGAGAGCUGGCAGGCACUGUACGGUGGGCAGCUCGGGGGAUCGGUGCUGCUGCACACAGGUGCUUUUUAAUUCUCAGUUGCUAGUUUGAAUCCAGCCCAAGGUGCUUUUGAUGCCAGCCUUUUUAGCAGGGCUCAGCAAACGGUGGGUUGGCCAAUCGACUCCGUCUGCUAGCAGAGAAGUGUUUCCUUCCCAGCGACCCCAGGGCCAGAACACCAAUUCAACAUUUCUUCUUGGCAGCAAUUUAGGGAAUAAGGUGGAAAACUUCUCCCUCCUUAGUAAAUGUAGUUGCAGGUCAGGAAAUGAGGGGUUUUUGGGAGGAUGGUGUGGAUUAAGUGUGUGUUACUAUUCCUCAUGUCUCUCCACUGUGCAGGAAGAGAUCUCCAAGGUUGCCCUGGAGGGUAACAGAGGCAGAGACGUGUACUGGAGACUUGAUAGCUAAUCUAGAUCUAAUAGUGCUGCAUGUUGACCCUGGCCCUCUCACCGAUGCACGGCAUGACAUCAGUCAGCAUUUUUAAAUGAGAUGAUUGGGUAGACCAAGUGUCGGUCUCAUUUGGCAUAGGAAAACUUUUUUUUCUGAGAGUACAGAUGGCAUUUUAAGAAAAUAUAUCCCCAAACUUGGUGUUACUAGUGAUAGUGCAAAAAAAUGUUGUGGUACCAGGCACUGUGAAAUUACUGGCUGCAUUUCUGGUGUGAGCCCUGACGUUGGAUCAGGAGAGAAUCUUCUGCCACUGUCAGCGUACACAGUGAAGUGGAGGAUCUCUUGAGGUGUUUACAAGAGACAAAGCAUGGUGCAGCUACUGAAGUGGAUGGCAGCGCUGCCCUGAAUUUCAGUGGGAAUGGAGUUAGGCACCACUCAACACUACUGGAGGUGCUUUCCCUGGUUUGGUCAGAUUAGCUGAUGUGGUUCAUCAGUCCUAAAUCUGCCACUGAAUAACAGCAAAAACCCAAAGUGAGGAGGAAAAGGCAGUUGCAGGAUAUGCAGAUGUAAUUUAAUUUUUAGAAAGGAAAAAAUCCUCACCGUAAGAUACAGAAGUGUUAUGUAUUUAUAGUGAUCAGUCAGCUUUGCAGUGCUUGUUUUGUGCUUGACCAGCUUAUUCUUUGCAUUUCUUAUGCAGCCUGAUGGAAGACGUUGGGGUUUAUGUGUUCAGUUGUUAAAAUUACCUUGCCAGCAAUUUUGAUCUGGCUGAAUAAACAGAGGUAAAAUGCUGGUGUGGAAAUGGAACAAAUGUUGCAUGUCCAACCCUGUUAUUUUUAAUCCUCAAAUAGUUAGUUGUACAAAUAAGUCCAGUUGUGGUAUCCCUUUAUAGCGGGGAUUAAAAAAAAAUGGCCUGUGCUGAGAUGAAAAUUUCUUGCUAGACUGUCACACAGAGGUUUGCUUGAGGCUUUGCUGGCUACUCCAGCUGUGGAGAGAGUAUUUUCACCAAACGGUGUCAUGUCACAAUAUGUUUUCAUCUUGCAACAGCGCUUUUAAGGCCAGUUAUUUUCAGCUGCUCUGUUGUUGAAGAGGUAACAGAUGUCUACAGGUAAAGCACAGCCCUUGUGUUUGUUAAUUUUUCUUCCCCAAGCAAAAAAUGGGCUUGUCAGCCAUUAACAUCACUAGAAUUCCCAUCUUGUUAAGAAAUUGUUCUCUCCUUUAUCUUGCUUCCUGAUCCUUGAACUGCUAGAUACACAGUGUGUGUGCAAACAUGUAUAAGCCUUUGCCAAAUGUAGCUUCAAGCACUCCCACCUGGGGCUGGGAACGUGUCAGAUCUUGUAGGCUAAACAGUGUUGGAAAUGUCAUCACCCAGCAGUGAGACCUCCAGCAGACCCAGGGCGCCGUAUGCUUCUGAAGCUGUCAUCAAAACGAUGGCAGUAGGAGAGCUAAGGUUUUUCCACGAUAGCAACUGGAAGCCAAAGACACCGCUCAAGGAACACCUACCUCCCUGAUAGAAAAUAACGCCGCAGGUUGGUUGUGAGCGGGGUUUUGCAUGGGAAGCAGCUGUGGGCUGAGGCUGUGACACAGCUUGGGAGAAAGGCAGCCGCAACCAGAAAUCAGACUGACUCUGACAAGAGGCUCAAACGGGGUGUGUUUUUUGUGGCUGGAGUAUGCAGGGUUUUUUCCCACCUUGUUUCUCACCACAGUGAGCACACUGGAAGUUUUUCUGGUGUAUGCCUCAUUGUUGGUGCUCCUGGUUUUCUGUGCUGGCUUGUGACCCUUCCAUCUGCCAGAGCGCCAGCCGAGGGGGAUGCCGUGGGGAGGCAGGAGGCACUCGGCAGUCUGAAGAGGGAUCUGGCAGCCCCAGCUGGGGGUCCUCUACUUGCUGGCCUGAGGCCAUGGAACAGCAGCUGCCAGUAUCUGUGUUAGGGCUAUAGCUGUCAGUGAUAGUGGCCAGUCCUAGGAGAGAGCAAUGCUCGUGCAGCUUGUUCUGAGCUCUGCGCUGGGCUUUGCACCAGAACAGGAGUAAAUGAGGCUGAUGUCCUCAGAAUGAGACCCUUACCCUUGGUGGCUGUCUUGAUCCAAGAUCUGUAUCUCUCCUGGUAAGAACAAGCCUGAUAACAACUCUGGGGCAGCCUCCAGCCUUGGUAAUUGCUUUUCACGUACUCUGUGCAAGGUACCAAUGCCAAGUCCACCAGUGUACAGACACUGCUAGUGCAACAGUAACUGGGCUGUGUCCUCUUUUUUUUCCCUUCAUAAUUUUUUUUGUCUUCUCUGAAUAGCAACUUAUCUUACCCCUUUUGGGAUAAAAUGUGGGGCUAGGUGAGCCACCAUUCUCAUCUCGUGAGGCAUGUCAUCUGUCGUGUUUGGAGUGGUGAGCACCUUCCCCUGUGCGUUUUUUCCCAUUGUUGAUACUGGUGAGACAGCAGUGGUCUGGGAGUUCCUACCUUGCUUUCUGGUGCUUGUACAUCCCCAUGUUGGCUGACCUAAGAUGACUUGAAAGUGAGUCGGUGAUAUGCUGUGUCAGGACCAGAAGAACUUUGGUUGCAUUUCGUAACAUGCAAAAAAAGCUCAAAUGUCCAUGAAACUUGUCUAGUCCCAAAGCCUGUUUGGAAAAGGGCUGCGGUGGGAUCUGUGUCUGGUACAGCUCACCCAGACCAAACUGUGACAAUGACAGCUCUCCAGGCUCGUGUCACGUUCAAAGUAGUCACCUUGCUGUGGUUCAAUGUAGUGUCCAAAUCCCGUGCUUCUGCAAGGGACUGUGAGGAUUUUAGUUACGUAUGAGAGAGAUGCCAGCAAUGGGACCGGCCAGGGCUGAUUCCCUUCCCAGCUCCCGGCCCUGCUAUCCCUCCUCUCCUCACCACCCCUGCACGGGCAGGGAUUGCAGGCACUGGCUGUGAGUCGGUUCCAGGCUCCGCGUGUCACCACCCCACAGAAACGGUCGUGUGACAUUAAUUUGUAUUUUAAAGAUGUUUUAUAUAUUGACAGUAGCGCCAUUGUGAGUGUGCAACGGAAUUUGUUUCACCGCUAUUGUUUUUGUGUCUGAUGUUUUAUCCCUUGGAGAUAAUUGUGGUUUGCAAUGUUUGGCGUUAGUAACGUGCAGAUAGUUGCUAUUCAACACAGUGACUCCUUGUAAUCUGCGCCUAAGAAGGAUGCCCAGUCAUCUCUUCUCUUUCAGGAGCCAGCAUGUUGUUCAGAUGUGCAGAAUGAACCCAAUGCUUGUUGGGCUUCUUGUUUUGGUUGAUUGGGGUUUUUUUUAUAACCAGAUUAAAUGUCAAAAGCAAUCUGGAAUCUGCUGGAUUCACAAACAGUAAAUACAUAUCAUGUUUCUAAUGUCGUCCCAGGUUUCAGAAACAGAAGAAGUUCUAAUUGUGAUAUUCAGCAUACAACAGAGUUGAAAUUUCUUGAGGGAGAGAUCUGCUCCAGCUUAAGCAACCACUUAGAGCAGAGGAUGAUUUCCUGGUGCCUGUGAAGAAGCUACAGACUGGCAGUUAUUUCUCCAUGAGGUCACUCCCCUGGACACUAAUGUUUUCAGAAGAGCUUGGUUCUGGGCAUACUAAAGGUUUACUGGAAAUCCAACCAUGGGGAUAACGAGCUGUUCUGAAAAAGAUGGCUCACGUGUUUUAUGCUGUUGGUCUCCCAUCCCAUCCAUUUUUAAAUUAUUUGCCUGGUGUAGUUUUCAUUGCUUCUCUUUGACAGUGAGAUGAUACCUCUGUGCCUGGCUGUUCAAAAUCACACUGAUGUCUUGCUGCCUUAUCGUAUUCCACACUGAGAAUAUUUUAUGAGCUGUUGGUGAUCUUGCUUGCAGGCUUCUGUUUCCCCAAGCAUCUUGUCCUCAUUGCAGAUCCCUGUCUGCAGUUAUCACCUCCCUGAACUACAUUUCUUUCCUUUUUUCUAUCCAGGCAGAUCUUUUUGAGCCUUACUUUCCCUGUUUCUGCAUGGAUCCUUUUGUAUUUCUUAGCUCUCCCACUGCUGCUCCAAAUCUAACAUCAUCUGCAGUUGUAAUUAAUAUUCUAUUUGCCUUUGUUUCAGAUCAUUAAUAAGGAUGUUGAAUAAAAGUCUUCUGCCUAUUGA